GACGAACGCUGGCGGCGUGCCUAAUACAUGCAAGUAGAACGCUGAAGAGAGGAGCUUACUCUUCUUGGAUGAGUUGCGAACGGGUGAGUAACGCGUAGGUAACCUGCCUUGUAGCGGGGGAUAACUAUUGGAAACGAUAGCUAAUACCGCAUAACAAUGGAUGACACAUGUCAUUUAUUUGAAAGGGGCAAUUGCUCCACUACAAGAUGGACCUGCGUUGUAUUAGCUAGUAGGUGAGGUAAUGGCUCACCUAGGCGACGAUACAUAGCCGACCUGAGAGGGUGAUCGGCCACACUGGGACUGAGACACGGCCCAGACUCCUACGGGAGGCAGCAGUAGGGAAUCUUCGGCAAUGGGGGCAACCCUGACCGAGCAACGCCGCGUGAGUGAAGAAGGGUUUCGGAUCGUAAAGCUCGGUUGUAAGUCAAGAACGGGUGUGAGAGUGGAAAGUUCACACUGUGACGGUAGCUUACCAGAAAGGGACGGCUAACUACGUG
This 497-nucleotide ribosomal RNA is filed under the name uncultured bacterium. RNAcentral's name for it is "partial 16S ribosomal RNA". It matches the Rfam family "Bacterial small subunit ribosomal RNA", at positions 28 to 507 of the family's 1533-position model. The record is from RNAcentral.